This 143-nucleotide small nucleolar RNA is filed under the name Microcebus murinus (gray mouse lemur). Its description in RNAcentral is "Small nucleolar RNA SNORA1 (ENSMICG00000019750.3)". It matches the Rfam family "Small nucleolar RNA SNORA1". Rfam says of the family: ACA1 is a member of the H/ACA class of snoRNA that guide the sites of modification of uridines to pseudouridines. Lineage: Eukaryota; Metazoa; Chordata; Mammalia; Primates; Cheirogaleidae. The record is from Rfam by way of RNAcentral.
AGCCUUAUUCUACAUAAGAAUGGGCACUGUUGAUCAUGGUGUCCAAAAAUUGUUAAUGUGGCUAACCUGAGACAUAGAUUAUGCUUCCAUCAUGGUAUAUAUAUAUAUAUAUUGCAGUGGUGACAAUGAGACCUGUAACAUUU